Gallus gallus (chicken) is the source of this 825-nucleotide long non-coding RNA. The record is from Ensembl. Lineage: Eukaryota; Metazoa; Chordata; Aves; Galliformes; Phasianidae.
CCAGAUAUGACCAUUACCCAGGCACUUUGCUGGAGCUCAUUAACAGCUUUUCCCAAUGUGUGAAACAUUUCUUUUACUUUGCCCUUAAGGAAGAAACGGGUGGAAUAGGAAACAAAGGCAUUGAAAUAGUUAUCAUUCUUGAAAUCCCCAGGCAGUUACAGUGGGAGGCACUGCACGCAGCACAUCAGUCUGUUUGGCCAAACACAACCACCUAGGAUCCAGGGGCACAGCUCUUCCCACUCAAGAUACAAGCAGCAACGCAUAGUAAAGAGAGAACAGAGCCUCACACGGGUACAGGCUGAUAGAAAGUAGACUUGAAAAGUAGGACGAAGACUCUUCUUACAUCUUCUUAACAUAAUUUUCUCUUAGUAAUGCAAAAAAAAAAAAAAACCCACACCCUAAAUCACUAUCAAUCAAAGCAUUCAGUUUUCAUGGCCCAGACAGAGGCAGAAAACUGAACACAAAUCCCCAAACACAGCACUUUCCACAUUGGCUACUCCCAUUGCUGGCAGAACAGAUCACUCUCAAGAUGUGUUUGGGUCUCCAUGCAAAGAACAGAAGUCACACUGUGCCUGCCAAAGUCCAGAAGCUUUCCUGCACUGUCAGGCACAUACCAUGUCAAGCAUCCAAGCAGUUGGAGUUGAAAGAAGAAAGAGGGGAGAAGGAACGAAUGACAAGCAGAAUAUAAUUUCAUUAAAGCACACCACUGUGAGAAUUCUCAGCACUGUGAGAGUACAAGGCAGGCUAAUGGGUGAAAUUCAGCCCCACUGCAUAGGGUCAGUCUGGAGGAAGAUCUGCCAUCGACUUCAGCUAGCUGACCCUGAC